This is a small nuclear RNA of Eptesicus fuscus (big brown bat), 102 nucleotides long. The record is from RefSeq and is a predicted model, not a curated record. Lineage: Eukaryota; Metazoa; Chordata; Mammalia; Chiroptera; Vespertilionidae.
ACUGGCUUCAGCAGCACAUACUAAAACUGGACAGAUACAGAGAUUAGCGUGGCCCCAGGUGCAGGGAUGACAGGCAAAUUUUGUGACAUGUUCCCUAUUUUU